This 699-nucleotide ribosomal RNA is filed under the name Faecalibacterium prausnitzii. RNAcentral describes it as "bacterial SSU rRNA". It matches the Rfam family "Bacterial small subunit ribosomal RNA", at positions 437 to 1162 of the family's 1533-position model. Lineage: Bacteria; Bacillati; Bacillota; Clostridia; Eubacteriales; Oscillospiraceae. The record is from RNAcentral.
UGUUGAGGAAGAUAAUGACGGUACUCAACAAGGAAGUGACGGCUAACUACGUGCCAGCAGCCGCGGUAAAACGUAGGUCACAAGCGUUGUCCGGAAUUACUGGGUGUAAAGGGAGCGCAGGCGGGAGGACAAGUUGGAAGUGAAAUCCAUGGGCUCAACCCAUGAACUGCUUUCAAAACUGKUYUUCUUGAGUAGUGCAGAGGUAGGCGGAAUUCCCGGUGUAGCGGUGGAAUGCGUAGAUAUCGGGAGGAACACCAGUGGCGAAGGCGGCCUACUGGGCACCAACUGACGCUGAGGCUCGAAAGUGUGGGUAGCAAACAGGAUUAGAUACCCUGGUAGUCCACACCGUAAACGAUGAUUACUAGGUGUUGGARGAUUGACCCUUUCAGUGCCGCAGUUAACACAAUAAGUAAUCCACCUGGGGAGUACGACCGCAAGGUUGAAACUCAAAGGAAUUGACGGGGGCCCGCACAAGCAGUGGAGUAUGUGGUUUAAUUCGACGCAACGCGAAGAACCUUACCAAGUCUUGACAUCCUUUGACGAUCSUAGAAAUAGUAUUUCUCUUCGGAGCANAGAGACAGGUGGUGCAUGGUUGUCGUCAGCUCGUGUCGUGAGAUGUUGGGUUAAGUCCCGCAACGAGCGCAACCCUUAUGGUCAGUUACUACGCAAGAGGACUCUGGCCAGACUGCGUUGAACAAA